Molecule: ribosomal RNA, 429 nt
Filed under: Bacteroidota bacterium
Lineage: Bacteria; Pseudomonadati; Bacteroidota
Description: Bacteroidetes bacterium partial 16S ribosomal RNA
Rfam family: Bacterial small subunit ribosomal RNA
Source: RNAcentral
UAGGGAAUCUUCGGCAAUGGGGGGAACCCUGACCGAGCAACGCCGCGUGAGUGAAGAAGGUUUUCGGAUCGUAAAGCUCUGUUGUUAAGGAAGAACGAGUGUGAGAAUGGAAAGUUCAUACUGUGACGGUACUUAACCAGAAAGGGACGGCUAACUACGUGCCAGCAGCCGCGGUAAUACGUAGGUCCCGAGCGUUGUCCGGAUUUAUUGGGCGUAAAGCGAGCGCAGGCGGUUAGAUAAGUCUGAAGUUAAAGGCAGUGGCUCAACCAUUGUAGGCUUUGGAAACUGUUUAACUUGAGUGCAGAAGGGGAGAGUGGAAUUCCAUGUGUAGCGGUGAAAUGAGUAGAUAUAUGGAGGAACACCGGUGGCGAAAGCGGCUCUCUGGUCUGUAACUGACGCUGAGGCUCGAAAGCGUGGGGAGCGAACAGG